GGUGCUGUGGCUUAGUUGGUGAAAGUGCCUGUCUAGUAAACAGGAGAUCCUGGGUUCAAAUCCCAGCAGUGCCU
Molecule: transfer RNA, 74 nt
Filed under: Hippoglossus stenolepis (Pacific halibut)
Lineage: Eukaryota; Metazoa; Chordata; Actinopteri; Pleuronectiformes; Pleuronectidae
Description: tRNA-Thr
Rfam family: tRNA
About the family: Transfer RNA (tRNA) molecules are approximately 80 nucleotides in length. Their secondary structure includes four short double-helical elements and three loops (D, anti-codon, and T loops). Further hydrogen bonds mediate the characteristic L-shaped molecular structure. tRNAs have two regions of fundamental functional importance: the anti-codon, which is responsible for specific mRNA codon recognition, and the 3' end, to which the tRNAs corresponding amino acid is attached (by aminoacyl-tRNA synthetases). tRNAs cope with the degeneracy of the genetic code in two manners: having more than one tRNA (with a specific anti-codon) for a particular amino acid; and 'wobble' base-pairing, i.e. permitting non-standard base-pairing at the 3rd anti-codon position.
Source: RNAcentral